GCACCGCUGAUGAGACCCAACCAGGUCUAGACAGCUGUCCAGUAC
This 45-nucleotide non-coding RNA is filed under the name Echinostoma caproni. The record is from RNAcentral. Lineage: Eukaryota; Metazoa; Platyhelminthes; Trematoda; Plagiorchiida; Echinostomatidae.